UGCUUACAAUCAUUCAGAGCCCUAUGAUUUAUCAGGGUGAUGGACUGCCUUUUGCAUAAUGAGCCUGCGAGUUGUGAUGUCUGGCAAGGUUAAGGAAACCCGGAGCCGUAGCGAAAGCGAGUCUUAAUAGGGCGUUUAGUCAGACGUUGCAGACCCGAAACGAUGUGAUCUAUCCAUGAGCAGGUUGAAACCGGUGUAAGAGCCGGUGGAGGACCGAACCCGCUAGCGUUGAAAAGCUAUGGGAUGACUUGUGGAUAGGGGUGAAAGGCCAAUCAAACAUCGUGAUAGCUGGUUCUCUCCGAAAUAUAUUUAGGUAUAGCGUCAUGUAGUAACACUAGGGGGUAGAGCACUGAAUGGGCUAGGGCAUACACCAAUGUACCAAACCCUAUCAAACUCCGAAUACCUAGUGUGUAAUCAUGGCAGUCAGGCGGCGAGUGAUAAAAUCCGUCGUCGAGAGGGGAACAACCCAGACUAACAGCUAAGGUCCCUAAAUCUCAUUUAAGUGGAAAACGAUGUGGAGUUACUUAAACAACCAGGAGGUUGGCUUAGAAGCAGCCAUCCUUUAAAGAAAGCGUAAUAGCUCACUGGUCUAGUGAUUCUGCGCGGAAAAUAUAACGGGGCUAAAAUGAGUACCGAAGCUUUAGACUUAGUUUUACUAAGUGGUAGGAGAGCGUUGUAUUUGCGUUGAAGGUAUACCGGUAAGGAGUGCUGGAGCGAAUACAAGUGAGCAUGCAGGCAUGAGUAGCGAUAAUUGGGGUGAGAAUCCCCAACGCCGUAAACCCAAGGUUUCCUACGCGAUGCUCGUCAUCGUAGGGUUAGCCGGGUCCUAAGCAAAGUCCGAAAGGGGUAUGCGAUGGAAAAUUGGUUAAUAUUCCAAUGCCAACUAUAAUGUGCGAUGGAAGGACGCUUAGAGUUAGAGGAGCCAGUGGAUGGUAUGCUGGUCGAAAGGCGCAGGUUGGAAUUCAGGCAAAUCCGAAUUCCUUUAAGCCGAGGCCCUACAGGUGCGUGAAAUUCUUCGGAAUAGAUCGUAUAUUCUUGAUACUGUCGAGCCAAGAAAAGUUUCUAAGUUUAGUUAUAGUUGCCCGUACCGUAAACCGACACAGGUGGGUGGGAUGAGUAUUCUAAGGCGCGUGGAAGAACUCUCUUCAAGGAACUCUGCAAAAUAGCACCGUAUCUUCGGUAUAAGGUGUGCCUAACUUUGUGAAGGAUUUACUCCGUAAGCAUUGAAGGUUACAACAAAGAGUCCCUCCCGACUGUUUACCAAAAACACAGCACUCUGCUAACUCGUAAGAGGAUGUAUAGGGUGUGACGCCUGCCCGGUGCUCGAAGGUUAAUUGAUGACGUUAGCUCUGCGAAGCGUUUGAUCGAAGCCCGAGUAAACGGCGGCCGUAACUAUAACGGUCCUAAGGUAGCGAAAUUCCUUGUCGAUUAAAUAUCGACCUGCAUGAAUGGCGUAACGAGAUGGGAGCUGUCUCGAAGAGGGAUCCAGUGAAAUUGUAGUGGAGGUGAAAAUUCCUCCUACCCGCGGCAAGACGGAAAGACCCCGUGGACCUUUACUACAGCUUGACACUGCUAUUGGGAUAAAAAUGUGCAGGAUAGGCGGGAGGCUUUGAUCCAUAGACGCCAGUUUAUGGUGAGCCAUUGUUGAGAUACCGCUCUUUUUUAUUCUGAUAGCUAACUAGCUUGAGUUAUCCUCAAGUAGGACAAUGUCUGGUGGGUAGUUUGACUGGGGCGGUCGCCUCCCAAAAUGUAACGGAGGCUUACAAAGGUUGGCUCAGAACGGUUGGAAAUCGUUCGUAGAGUAUAAAGGCAUAAGCCAGCUUAACUGCGAGACAUACACGUCAAGCAGAGACGAAAGUCGGUCUUAGUGAUCCGGUGGUUCUGUGUGGAAGGGCCAUCGCUCAAAGGAUAAAAGGUACCCCGGGGAUAACAGGCUGAUCUCCCCCAAGAGCUCACAUCGACGGGGAGGUUUGGCACCUCGAUGUCGGCUCAUCGCAUCCUGGGGC
This 2006-nucleotide ribosomal RNA is filed under the name human metagenome. RNAcentral's name for it is "bacterial LSU rRNA". It matches the Rfam family "Bacterial large subunit ribosomal RNA", at positions 561 to 2553 of the family's 2925-position model. The record is from RNAcentral.